UAGGGAAUUUUCCACAAUGGGCGCAAGCCUGAUCCAGCCAUGCCGCGUGGAUGAUGAAGGCCUUAGGGUUGUAAAAUCCUUUCGCCGAGGACGAUAAUGACGGUACUCGGAGAAGAAGCUCCGGCUAACUUCGUGCCAGCAGCCGCGGUAAUACGAAGGGGGCUAGCGUUGUUCGGAUUUACUGGGCGUAAAGCGCGUGUAGGCGGGUCGUUAAGUUGGGGGUGAAAUCCCGAGGCUCAACCUCGGAACUGCCUUCAAAACUGGCGACCUGGACCUAAGUAGAGGCAAGUGGAAUUGCGAGUGUAGAGGUGAAAUUCGUAGAUAUUCGCGGGAACACCAGUGGCGAAGGCGACUUGCUGGACUUAUGGUGACGCUGAGACGCGAAAGCGUGGGGAGCAAACAGGAUUAGAUACCCCCGUAGUCCCUGAGCGGGCUGGCAAGGCGCAU
RNAcentral lists this ribosomal RNA (447 nucleotides) under uncultured bacterium. RNAcentral describes it as "bacterial SSU rRNA". It matches the Rfam family "Bacterial small subunit ribosomal RNA", at positions 355 to 825 of the family's 1533-position model. The record is from RNAcentral.